This 133-nucleotide ribosomal RNA is filed under the name Escherichia coli. Its description in RNAcentral is "partial 23S ribosomal RNA". It matches the Rfam family "Bacterial large subunit ribosomal RNA", at positions 2798 to 2925 of the family's 2925-position model. Lineage: Bacteria; Pseudomonadati; Pseudomonadota; Gammaproteobacteria; Enterobacterales; Enterobacteriaceae. The record is from RNAcentral. RNAcentral also lists the same sequence under 1 other name.
CCCGAGAUGAGUUCUCCCUGACUCCUUGAGAGUCCUGAAGGAACGUUGAAGACGACGACGUUGAUAGGCCGGGUGUGUAAGCGCAGCGAUGCGUUGAGCUAACCGGUACUAAUGAACCGUGAGGCUUAACCUU